This 547-nucleotide ribosomal RNA is filed under the name uncultured bacterium. Its description in RNAcentral is "bacterial SSU rRNA". It matches the Rfam family "Bacterial small subunit ribosomal RNA", at positions 355 to 896 of the family's 1533-position model. The record is from RNAcentral.
UGGGGAAUAUUGCNCAAUGGGGGGAACCCUGACGCAGCCAUGCCGCGUGAAUGAAGAAGGCCUUCGGGUUGUAAAGUUCUUUCGGUAUUGAGGAAGGUUGAUGUGUUAAUAGCACAUCAAAUUGACGUUAAAUACAGAAGAAGCACCGGCUAACUCCGUGCCAGCAGCCGCGGUAAUACGGAGGGUGCGAGCGUUAAUCGGAAUAACUGGGCGUAAAGGGCACGCAGGCGGUUAUUUAAGUGAGGUGUGAAAGCCCCGGGCUUAACCUGGGAAUUGCAUUUCAGACUGGGUAACUAGAGUACUUUAGGGAGGGGUAGAAUUCCACGUGUAGCGGUGAAAUGCGUAGAGAUGUGGAGGAAUACCGAAGGCGAAGGCAGCCCCUUGGGAAUGUACUGACGCUCAUGUGCGAAAGCGUGGGGAGCAAACAGGAUUAGAUACCCUGGUAGUCCACGCUGUAAACGCUGUCGAUUUGGGGGUUGGGGUUUAACUCUGGCGCCCGUAGCUAACGUGAUAAAUCGACCGCCUGGGGAGUACGGCCGCAAGGNUA